GGACAAUGGAGGCAACUCUGAUCCAGCCAUGCCGCGUGAAGGAAUAAGGCCCUAUGGGUUGUAAACUUCUUUUAGACGGGACAAAACCCCUUUACGUGUAAAGGGUUGAUGGUACUGUCAGAAUAAGCAUCGGCUAACUUCGUGCCAGCAGCCGCGGUAAUACGAAGGAUGCAAGCGUUAUCCGGAAUUAUUGGGUUUAAAGGGUGCGUAGGCGGACUAAUAAGUCAGUGGUGAAAGCCUGCAGCUUAACUGCAGAAUUGCCAUUGAUACUGUUAGUCUUGAGUACAGUUGAGGCAGGCGGAAUGUGUCAUGUAGCGGUGAAAUGCUUAGAUAUGACACAGAACACCGAUUGCGAAGGCAGCUUGCUAAGCUGUAACUGACGCUGAGGCACGAAAGCGUGGGGAGCAAAC
Molecule: ribosomal RNA, 410 nt
Filed under: uncultured bacterium
Lineage: Bacteria
Description: bacterial SSU rRNA
Rfam family: Bacterial small subunit ribosomal RNA
Source: RNAcentral